RNAcentral lists this ribosomal RNA (389 nucleotides) under Clostridioides difficile. RNAcentral describes it as "bacterial LSU rRNA". It matches the Rfam family "Bacterial large subunit ribosomal RNA", at positions 2328 to 2716 of the family's 2925-position model. Lineage: Bacteria; Bacillati; Bacillota; Clostridia; Peptostreptococcales; Peptostreptococcaceae. The record is from RNAcentral.
CGGUCGGGAAUCGGACGGGGAGUGGAAAGGCAAAAGAGAGCUUGUAUGCAAGACAGCAUGGUGUAGAAGCGAUGAAAAUCGUACGUAGUGGGCCGGUGGUUCUGCGUGGACGGGCCAUCGCUCAACGGAUAAAAGCUACCCUGGGGAUAACAGGCUUAUCUCCCCCAAGAGUCCACAUCGACGGGGAUGUUUGGCACCUCGAUGUCGGCUCAUCCCAUCCUGGGGCUGUAGUAGGUCCCAAGGGUUGGGCUGUUCGCCCAUUAAAGUGGUACGCGAGCUGGGUUCAGCACGUCGUGAGACAGUUCGGUCACUAUCCGUCGCAGGCGUAGGAAAUUUGAGAAGACCUGUCCUUAGUACGUAAGGACCGUGGUGGCGGUACCUCGGGUGCU